RNAcentral lists this long non-coding RNA (4031 nucleotides) under Vitis vinifera (wine grape). Its description in RNAcentral is "long non-coding RNA (VVIN_LNC004813)". The record is from RNAcentral. Lineage: Eukaryota; Viridiplantae; Streptophyta; Magnoliopsida; Vitales; Vitaceae.
CUGAUUUGAUUUAUUAGUCAGGAUAUUAUAGGAAAUUAGGUGUAUUAGCUGUAGAGAUACCUUAGUCCUCAUAGUCUAGCUGGUAGUCUCAAUUUCCCUUUUUUAUUCUUAACAAUACUGUGUAUAUAUUCAGCCCUUAUAUAAAAAUUUGGAUUUCUUUUCCUAAGAAAACCACAUGGUAUCAGAGCCGAAUAUUUGGCCAGAGAGUGAGUGAUAUCGUCACCUUCCUGAAAGAGAGAUGGCAGAGAAAGGAUCUGAGGUAGGAGAGAAGCUGGCGGCCAUUUCAAAUCCCUCUUCGACUGAAAACCCAGCGAUUUAGAUAACAGCCCUUAAACUGAACUGAGAAAAUUUUCUCCGAUGGGCACCAUCAGUAAGAUUCUUCAUAAGUGGUAGAGGCAAGAUGGGGUAUUUGGAUGACACACACAAGCCUGUUUUGCCCAAAGAAGCUGGGUAUCAAACCUGGUUUGUUGAAAACUCAAUAGUGAUGACUUGGUUGAUCAAUUCUAUGGAGCCAGAAAUCAGCCAAGGGUAUAUACUUUACAACACAGCAAAGGAGAUUUGGGAUGCAGCUAAUCUAAUGUACUCAAAUCUGGGAAACGACUCUAAACUCUGAGUUGAGUGAGAAGGCAAGGGCAAUUCAGCAAGGAGACUUGCUGGUAAUGACCUAUUUCACUUCUUUAAAUAUUCUGUAUCAAGAAAUUGAUUUGUACCAGGAUAUUGUGUGGAAAAACCCGGAGGAUCAUGCCACAUAUCGAAAGUUGAUUGAAAAGGAAAGAGUCUUUAAAUUUCUUUCUGGUUUGCGAUAUGAAUUUGAUCAAGAAAGGGGCAGGAUUUUGAGUAACUCGCCCAUUCCAUCUCUUCGGGAGGUCUUCAACUCGAUAAAGAGAGAAGAGAGUCGCAUAGGCUUUAUGAUGAGUGGACUGAAAUCAACAACAACUGAAACAUCUGCAUUAUCAACAGCAAAUCAGCCAACUGCAGGAAACAAAAAUAUUGGAGCAAAUUCGGUCUAUGUUGCAGGGAAAAAUGAAGGGAAGAAGGAUGACAAGGAUAGUAUAUGGUGCGACCAUUGCCAAAAACCACGACACACAAGAGAUAGCUGCUGGAAAAUUCAUGGGAGACCAGUGAAUUUACCCCAGAACUUUGGCAAAGGUCAUGGCUAGAAUAAUGGUGGUGGAGGACGAGGCUGGAACCCAGCAUUAGGUGGGGGCCGAGGCUUUCAAGCAGUAGCAGAUUUUUCAAAACAGACCAAGCACAAGGAGAUACUGGAGUUCCAAACCCUACCAAAGAGCAACUUGAGCAAUUCUAUAAGUUUAUAUUCUAAAAUUCCCAAAAUGCUACUUCUGCAAAUUUGGCCCAAGUAAUUUUAGUACAACCCUUUCUACUAAGUACUUGAAAUCUGACUCCUGGAUCUUAUAGAUUCAGGAGCAACCGAUCAUAUGACUGGGAAUUCAAGUAUGUUUUGUUCUUAUACUCCUUGUAAUGGGACUCAAAUGGUAAAAAUUGUCGAUGGUUCCUUAACUAAAGUAAAAGGAAUAGGCAUUGUUCAAAUUUCUGAGAGCCUGAGUCUCAAAUCUGUAUUACAUAUGCCUAACUUGUCUUGCAAUCUUGUUUCCAUUAGCAAACUUACCAAAGACUUGAACUACAUUGCUAAUUUUCACCCAAACCAUUGUGUUUUUCAGGAUCUGUGUAAGGGGAAGAAGAUUGACAAUGCUAGGGAGGUUGAUGGACUAUGGAUGUAUCUUUCUUUGAAAAUCAGCCUUACAACACCCAAAAUUCUCUUCAGGGGGAGAUUAGAGGAGAAGAGAAUUUUUGGGAAGUAUCCCAAGGAAAGGAGAUGGGGGAAGAGAUAGGAGAAAUUGGAGGAGUUCUUGAGAUAGGAGAAAUUAGAGGAAUUCUUGAAAAUAUUUCAGUUGGAGAAGAAAAAAAGGGAAAGAGCCAGAAGAAAAAAUUGAGAAAGAGAAGGAGUGCAUUACAUAUUCUAGGAGAAGAGGAAGAAAUCCAUAUCCUCCUAUAGAGGGUCAAUCUUCAACUCUGGCAACAGAGCCGAACACUCGGGUAAAUCCAACUCCUCAACCCUUAUUUGAUGAUCUAGAUUUACCUAUUGCUCUCAAAAAAUCUAGUCGAUCCUGCACACAACAUCCUAUUGCUCAAUUUGUUUCGUAUGGUGCUUAAGGGGCUCAUUUAGAGCAUUUACCACUAAUUUGUCUCGUGUUAGUAUUCCUCGUGAUAUUCAUGAAGCACUGCAGGUUCCAGAAUGGCAGGAAGUAGUUAAUGAAGAGAUGAAAGCUCUCUUUAAAAAUCAUACUUGGGUAGUUACUAAUCUUCCAAUAAGAAAGAAACCAGUGGGGUGCAAGUGGGCGUUCAUAGUCAAGUUCAAAGCAGAUGGAAGCAUAGAAAGACAUAAAGCAAGACUGGUGGCUAAAGGUUACACCCAAAACAUUUGGUAUUGACUACCGGGAGACCUUUGCCCCAGUAGCAAAGAUAAAUACAGUGAGAGUUCUACUGUCUAUUGCAGAAAAGAUGGAUUGGGCUCUACAACAACUUGAUGUAAAAAAUGCCUUCUUACAUGGUGACUUGGAAGAAGAGGUGUUCAUGGAGUUGCCACCAGGUUUUGAAAAUCGAUUGGGCAAAGGAAAAGUGUGUAGGCUGAAGAAAUCUUUGUAUGGCUUGAAGCAAUUGCCAAGGGCUUGGUUCGAAAAUUUCACUCAAUCGGUGAAAAACAUGGGAUAUACUCAGGGGCAGACCAACCACACGAUGUUUUACAAACAUUCUUGUAAUGGUAAAAUAACUAUUUUGAUAGUUUAUGUUGAUGACAUUAUCCUCACAAGAAGUGAUGAAGGAGAGAUGCUAAGAUUGAAGAAAGCUUUGGCACAGUCAUUUGAAAUCAAAGACUUAGGAAACUUGCGAUAUUUCUUAGGUAUUGAGGUAGCUUGAUCAAGAAAGGGAAUUGCCCUGUCUCAAAGGAAGUAUGUUCUAGAUCUUCUUAAAGAGACAGGCAUGUUAGGAUGCAAACCUAUUGACACCCCAAUAGAUGUGAACAUCAAGAUGAGUACUCAUAUAGGAGGUAAGGAGGUUGAUAGAGAAGGAUAUCAAAGACUAGUGGGAAAGUUAAUUUACCUCUCACACACUCGUCCAAACAUUGCCUUUGCUAUUAGUUUAGUAAGCCAAUUUAUGCACAAUCCCAAAGAAGAUCAUCCACAAGCAGUAUUUAGAAUCUUGAGAUAUCUCAAAGGGUCUCCUGGAAGAGGACUCUUAUUCUCUAAACAAGACAAGAGUUUAGAUGUGGAAACUUUUACUGAUGGUAAUUAGGCAAGUUCUAUAGAUGAUAAAAGGUCUACCUCAGGUUGUUGUACAUUCCUAGAAGGAAAUCUAAUAACGUGGAGAAGUAAGAAGCAAGCAGUUGUUGCGAGGUCUAGUGCGGAAGCUAAAUUUAGAGCAUUGGCUCUUGGAAUCUAUGAGCUUAUUUGGAUAGUCAUUGAUGAGUGAAAUGAGAAUGCCCCUAAUGAUACCAAUGAAGCUCUAUUGUGAUAAUAAAGCUGCCAUUAGUAUUGCACAUAACCUAGUUCAGCAUGAUAGAACCAAGCAUGUGGAGAUUGAUCGACAUUUCAUCAAAGAGAAGAUAGAAGUUGGGCUUAUAAACUUGUCUCAUGUUUCUUCAAGUAAUCAGGUAGCAGAUAUAUUAACAAAAGGGCUUGUUGGACAUCAAUUCAAGGAGUUCAUAAGCAAGCUAGGAAUGAAAGAUAUCUACCAUCCAGGUUGAGGGGGAGUGUAGAGAAUCGGUCAAGAAUCUUUUUUCCUUAAUUAGAGUUCUUGGUUAUAAUUGUAUACUAGCUGAUUUGAUUUAUUAGUCAAAAUAUUAUAGGAAAUUAGGUGUAUUAGCUGUAGAGAUACGUUAGUCAUCACAGUCUAGCUGGUAGUCUCAAUUUCCCUUUUUUAUUCUUAACAAUACUGUGCAUAUAUUCAGCCCUGUAUACCAAUUUUUAUAUAUGAAAAUUUGGAAAUCUUUUCCUAAGAAAACCACAGUAUGUUCU